This 250-nucleotide ribosomal RNA is filed under the name uncultured bacterium. RNAcentral describes it as "partial 16S ribosomal RNA". It matches the Rfam family "Bacterial small subunit ribosomal RNA", at positions 355 to 602 of the family's 1533-position model. The record is from RNAcentral.
UAAGGAAUAUUGGACAAUGGACGCAAGUCUGAUCCAGCCAUGCCGCGUGAAGGAAGAAGGCGCUCAGCGUUGUAAACUUCUUUUGGACGGGGACAAACCGCUUCAUUUAUGGGGCGCUGAGGGUACCGUCAGAAUAAGCACCGGCUAACUCCGUGCCAGCAGCCGCGGUAAUACGGAGGGUGCAAGCGUUAUCCGGAAUCACUGGGUUUAAAGGGUGCGUAGGCGGCCCGAUAAGUCAGUCGUGAAAUCG